UACAGAGGUCUCAAGCGUUGUUCGGAUCCAUUGGGCGUAAAGGGUGCGUAGGUGGCGCGCUAAGUCGGGUGUGAAAUUUCGGAGCUUAACUCCGAAACUGCAUUCGAUACUGGCGUGCUUGAGGACUGGAGAGGAGACUGGAAUUCAUGGUGUAGCAGUGAAAUGCGUAGAGAUCAUGAGGAAGACCAGUGGCGAAGGCGGGUCUCUGGACAGUUCCUGACACUGAGGCACGAAGGCCAGGGGAGCAAACGGG
RNAcentral lists this ribosomal RNA (253 nucleotides) under uncultured bacterium. Its description in RNAcentral is "partial 16S ribosomal RNA". It matches the Rfam family "Bacterial small subunit ribosomal RNA", at positions 524 to 776 of the family's 1533-position model. The record is from RNAcentral.